Brassica napus (rape) is the source of this 1420-nucleotide long non-coding RNA. RefSeq lists it as uncharacterized. NCBI's taxonomy places the organism in Eukaryota, Viridiplantae, Streptophyta, Magnoliopsida, Brassicales, Brassicaceae. The transcript has 3 exons. The record is from RefSeq and is a predicted model, not a curated record.
UACGAGAGCCACUGGGGCAAAUUGGUUACGAGCAUAGAAAACUUUUGAUGUGAGGGGGUUUUCGUUUGAAGCUGGUCAGGUACUACGGAACACAGGUUCCUGAUGAAGUUGAACAACGAAACUGUAUCGAUCGUCGAGCUCAAGAAACGGUACUGUUGUUCAUGUCACUAUCACUGUCAAUAUACAUCCUUGUGAGUCGGUCUUGCUCUCUUCGCCUCAUUUGCCGGUACUGGUGGAAAUCACCGGAUCCAGAACCAGCGGAACUACCAGAGGUGUUGCUAACGCGGACCGGGACGUUCUCCAGGAUUCUUCUAAGCUUUAUCUCUAGAUCUUCGAGCAUCACCGGAGGUUUAUACUCUACGAUAGAUGUCGUGGCGGCAACCACCAAUCUCGUAUCGCCUUCUUGCUUAGGUUUCCCGGUCGACAUCCUCCUGAAAACCAUAACCCGAUGCCAAUUGGGGAUAUCUCUCCCUCUUACGGAUUCCCACACGACUGAAGCUGAAUCUCAGUGGGAAGAACCCUGUCACUUCUCCAUCAUCUAAGCUGGAGGGGGCUACAAUAUCCGCUACAAUAGCUUGAACCUUGAGAGUUUAUUUUGCAUAUAGCCUUUGUUGGCUACUACUACUUUAAAAAUCAAGGAUUGUGCAACUGGGUUCGUGAUUGUAAACUGGUUCCCCUAUGUAACUGUAGGGGUUGCACGGGUACGGAAAGGCGGAAGGCACGCCGUAUCCUUGAGGAGAUAGAUAACAGGGAGGAGGAGGACAUGGAUUACAUGGCGGCGGAGGACAUGGUUUGCAUGGCGGCGGAGGACAUGGAUUGCAUGGCGGCGGAGGACAUGGAUUGCAUGGCGGCGGAGGACAUGGUUUACAUGGCGGCGGAGGACAUGGAUUGCAUGGCGGCGGAGGACAUGGAUUGCAUGGCGGCGGAGGACAUGGUUUACAUGGCGGCGGAGGACAUGCUUUACAUGGCGGCGGAGGACAUGGUUUACAUGGCGGUGGACAUGGUUUACAUGGCGGUGGACAUGGUUUACAUGGCGCGGGCUUCUUCUCCUCUUCUGGCUUCUUUGGAGGUUCGACUUUGCUGACGCUUACAAGCUCUGCAAAGGCUACCUUUUUCCUGAGCAUUUUGGUGAGGCAGAUCAUAUCAACUUCAGUACCUGUUACCUCUAUCUGGUUCCUGUGAUCGCCUUUUAUCUCCACGGCUGAGACACCUAUAAACCAUAGCGUUAGAUCCAACAUCUGUGUGGUUAGUUUGUUUUGUGAGAAGGUCUUCUUACCUUUAAACUGAACUGCUUUUGCCAUAGCUUUUGCUCGGGUCUUGUCAUCAGUCAUAGUCACUCUAAACAGGAUCUUUUGCUGCGUGUGAAAAUGAUAAAUCUUAUCAAGUCAAUCAAAGAAGCCAUAUAAACACUUUCACAAUA